AGCUUUGCUCAGUGGCAGUACAGCCAAUGAGGUUUAUCUGAGGCGCAAUUAUUACUAAUUGAAAACUUUUCCCAAAACCCCGCCGUGAUGACUUGCUAUACAGUUGGCAAUGACAAUUUUUGACAGUCUCUACGGAGA
This is a small nuclear RNA of Callithrix jacchus (white-tufted-ear marmoset), 138 nucleotides long. Its record names the gene U4. It matches the Rfam family "U4 spliceosomal RNA". From Rfam's summary of the family: U4 small nuclear RNA (U4 snRNA) is a component of the major U2-dependent spliceosome. The record is from Ensembl. Lineage: Eukaryota; Metazoa; Chordata; Mammalia; Primates; Cebidae.